GCUGGCGGCGUGCCUAACACAUGCAAGUCGAACGAGAAAGUGGAGCAAUCCAUGAGUAAAGUGGCGACCGGGUGAGUAACACGUGACUAACCUACCUCCGAGUGGGGAAUAACUCCGGGAAACCGGGGCUAAUACCGCAUAACAUCGCAAGAUCAAAGCAGCAAUGCGCUUGGAGAGGGGGUCGCGGCUGAUUAGCUCGUUGGCGGGGUAACGGCCCACCAAGGCGAAGAUCGGUAUCCGGCCUGAGAGGGCGCACGGACACACUGGAACUGAAACACGGUCCAGACUCCUACGGGAGGCAGCAGUGGGGAAUUUUGCGCAAUGGGGGAAACCCUGACGCAGCAACGCCGCGUGGAGGAUGAAGCCCUUUGGGGCGUAAACUCCUUUCGACUCGGACGAUAAUGACGGUACGAGUGGAAGAAGCACCGGCUAACUCUGUGCCAGCAGCCGCGGUAAUACAGAGGGUGCGAGCGUUGUUCGGA
Molecule: ribosomal RNA, 482 nt
Filed under: uncultured bacterium
Lineage: Bacteria
Description: bacterial SSU rRNA
Rfam family: Bacterial small subunit ribosomal RNA
Source: RNAcentral